GACGAAGGUGGCAAGCGUUAUUCGGAUUUACUGGGCAUAAAGCGCGCGUAGGCGGCUUGGCAAGUCGGGGGUGAAAGCCCGCAGCUCAACUGCGGAACUGCCUUCGAUACUGCCGAGCUUGAGGGCGGGAGGGGUGAUUGGAACUCCAGGUGUAGCGGUGAAAUGCGUAGAUAUCUGAAGGAACACCGGAGGCGAAGGCGAAUCACUGGACCGCUUCUGACGCUGAGGCGCGAAAGCUAGGGGAGCAAACAGG
RNAcentral lists this ribosomal RNA (253 nucleotides) under uncultured bacterium. RNAcentral's name for it is "partial 16S ribosomal RNA". It matches the Rfam family "Bacterial small subunit ribosomal RNA", at positions 524 to 776 of the family's 1533-position model. The record is from RNAcentral.